Erythranthe guttata (spotted monkey flower) is the source of this 166-nucleotide non-coding RNA. Lineage: Eukaryota; Viridiplantae; Streptophyta; Magnoliopsida; Lamiales; Phrymaceae. The record is from RefSeq and is a predicted model, not a curated record.
ACCUCAGAUCAAACUGCAUUUACCAGACAAGACUAAAUUAAACAUCUAGGUAGUGACACAAAAAGGUGAUAGAAUUCUUAGGAAACAAAUAAAUGAAAAUUAGAUCAUCUUCCCAAUUAUGUCUCGAUCCCAACAAUAGCUUUAAGGUAAGACACUAAACUCAGAA